Molecule: ribosomal RNA, 468 nt
Filed under: uncultured bacterium
Lineage: Bacteria
Description: partial 16S ribosomal RNA
Rfam family: Bacterial small subunit ribosomal RNA
Source: RNAcentral
GACGAACGCUGGCGGCGUGCUUAACACAUGCAAGUCGAACGGAAAGACCCUGCUUUUGUGGGGUGCUCGAGUGGCGAACGGGUGAGUAACACGUGAGUAACCUGCCCUUGACUUUGGGAUAACUUCAGGAAACUGGGGCUAAUACCGGAUAGGAGCUCCUGCUGCAUGGUGGGGGUUGGAAAGUUUCGGCGGUUGGGGAUGGACGCGCGGCUUAUCAGCUUGUUGGUGGGGUAGUGGCUUACCAAGGCUUUGACGGGUAGCCGGCCUGAGAGGGUGACCGGCCACAUUGGGACUGAGAUACGGCCCAGACUCCUACGGGAGGCAGCAGUGGGGAAUAGUGCACAAUGGGCGGAAGCCUGAUGCAGCAACGCCGCGUGCGGGAUGACGGCCUUCGGGUUGUAAACCGCUUUCGCCUGUGACGAAGCGUGAGUGACGGUAAUGGGUAAAGAAGCACCGGCUAACUACGUG